Molecule: RNA transcript, 1826 nt
Organism: Myripristis murdjan (pinecone soldierfish)
Lineage: Eukaryota; Metazoa; Chordata; Actinopteri; Holocentriformes; Holocentridae
Gene: arr3a
Gene name: arrestin 3a, retinal (X-arrestin)
Exons: 18
Source: RefSeq, a predicted model, not a curated record
GAGCACCUGGGUAUAAAAAGGGACAGCAACUGUUGAAGAUCGCCCUCUUCACUUACUCUGACAUACUCUACCUGCAUCAGCUGACCUGGAACUUCUCUACGACAACUGAAAACAGAAAUUGUCCUAAGAUCUCCAAGACAUGACUAAGGUUUUCAAGAAGACCAGUGGGCACGGAGGGCUAACCCUCUACCUGGGGAAGAGAGACUAUGUAGACAAUGUGGACAGUGUGGAAAGUGUUGAUGGUGUUGUUAAGUUGGACACAUCACAGUUUGGAGACAGAAAAGUGUUUGUGCAGCUGGCAUGUGCCUUUCGUUAUGGUAGUGAGGACCUGGAUGUGAUCGGCCUAUCGUUCAGGAAGGACAUCUGGUUCAAGCAGAUCCAGAUCUACCCAGAAAGCCACAAGCCCACACUAACGCCCAUGCACGACACCCUGCUGAAGAAGGCUGGCGACAAUGCUUACCCUUUCACAUUUGAAAUUCCCACCAACCUGCCAUGCUCAGUCACCCUGCAGCCUGCACCUGACGACAAGGGAAAGGCCUGUGGAGUCGACUUUGAGGUUAAAACCUACCUGGCCAUGGAGGCUGACAACCCUGAUGAGAAGAUUGAAAAGAAGGACACUGCUCGUCUCAUCGUUCGUAAAAUUCAGUAUGCCCCCAGUCAGGUGGGCAGCGGACCCAAGGCUGACAUCUGCAAAAGCUUCAUGAUGUCCGACAAGCCCGUUCAUCUGGAGGCCUCAAUGGAUAAAGAUCUCUACUUCCAUGGUGAAUCCAUUCCAAUCAAAAUCAAAAUCAAGAACGAGAGCAACAAAACUGUCAAGAAAAUCAAAAUGACAGUGGAACAGCUGACAGAUAUCGUCCUCUACUCAGCAGACAAAUACACCAAGGUUGUUCUUAGCCAAGAGUUUGGGGAGACAGUUGAGUCCGGUAGCAGUUAUGACAACACCCUGUCCAUCACUCCCCUGCUGGCUGAAAACAAGGAGAAGAGAGGGCUGUCGCUGGACGGACGACUGAAGGACGAGGACACCAACCUUGCCUCCACCACCAUGCUGAGGCCAGGCCUGGAUAAGGAGGUGUUGGGUAUCCUGGUCUCCUACAAGAUUAAGGUGAACCUCAUGGUGGCUGGAGGAGGCCUGCUGGGCGGCCUCACAUCCAGUGAUGUCACGGUGGAGCUGCCAUUGAACCUCAUGCACCCCAAGCCCCAAGAGGAAUAACUGCACAUCAGUGGUCCUGGAGUAAAACUUGGAGUAGAGUCCCCAUAGUCAAGAGAUGAUGUUACACCAGAGGCUGAGAAGAAAUCCACACAAAAAGAGGAAGACAAGGAGAAGUGAGAUGACAAAGAGGAGGAAGACGGGUGUGACUGGCACACAGGAAUGAUAUCACAGGAAUGAUAGCCCUCUCACCGAUUCUGUUGUUCUUGUUUUUGUUGUGAUUUUAGAGGGAGUAGGUAAGGAGCAUAUAAACUGCAAGAUAGAUCCAAAAUCUAGAGACCAAAGCUAGACUACAGUAGACACACACACACACACACACACACACACACACACAACCAUAUGCACGUGGAUGUGACACCCUACUCCCCCUGACCUCCAGCUGUGGGAGUGAGAUAGAAAAUCUGUUUGAAACCCAUAAAAGCUACUCGAAACCACAGUGAUUUAGCUUUUAGUGCAAUAUCGAUUAUUUUGAAUGACAUUGUUUUUUUGUUUUGUGUUUCUUUCUUUCUUUUUUCUUUUUUUUCUUUUUUUUUGUUGUUGAAAUGUAUUAUCCAACUCUGGUUUUGACUGACCAUGUCAAUGACCCCAAAUCCAUUAAAAUAAUUCUAAAAACAGAAAA